AACAAAACCAGGCUAGCUAUAUGUGUGCCCAAGAAGUCCACACAUACAACAACAGAAAGGAACAAUAUCAGAAACAAUGUUAUAUAACGGAAACAUACUUAUAAUUAACACUUACAUCAUAGUAUCGCGGAAUUAACGGUAACUAAACUUCAGGCUCAAUCUUCACAGGGACCGCUGACUGGGGGUAACAUAUGCCAAGCACUUCUAUCCAUCCUCUAUGAACUCCUUCAUGACUCCAUCAUCCUUCUGAUGAACUCUUACUAGUAGACUGUAGUGGUGGGAAAUAGCAAGAGUGAGCACAUAUCGUACUCAACAAGUAUAACCAGGGGUUCAUGAGGCUCAAAUAGCUGACACUGGUUUGACUGCAUUUAGCUUUUAAUAGUGGAUAGCAGGUUCAUAAUUAGAUAGCAAAUGUCAAGGUGGCAUAAAUAAUCCAUUAAUCACAUGAUCAAGUGUAAGCAUAAUUAAUUCAUAGCAUAAACGAUAAUCAAAUGAACAUAACAACUUAACAAGCUCAUCGUCGUCGCAGCAAGAACCCCCAAGGCCGCUCUUAACCGUGAGCACGGCUAGUAUACUAGUUUUAACACUCUGCAGAGGUUGUACAUCUUUACCCAUGAGUCAUGAUUUACCCUUUCGCCCGAGGUAGCUAGUCUCUUAACCCCCUUCCUAGGGAGGUCGGCAGGGAUCACUAUGAAGCCUUUCAAAAGUUCGUCUAACAUGUUAGGGCCGCAAGGUUUCCUUCGCGAGCAGAUAUAGAUACCCCCCUUCCGAAUGGCACAAUGACGCGCAGCCUAUACACAUAGGGACAGGGGCUCGCACUAUACCCGUGUCGGUUCAGCCCCUCUAGCGCCCUUUCCGGUAACCUCUAACAAGCUAGAAAAGGUCUUCAUACUGAGCUAAAGCCAGAGCCAUAUAGCCCUCAUGGUUGUACGAGUUGUCCUAGCUUUUGCCAAGGGAUAAAUCCUUAUGGAGGGUCAAGAUCAAUCCAGCAAAAGCCGGAGUUCUUUCCACCCUUUAUAUUCAAGUUGCUAGAAAGCUUAUUUUAUUGUUUAUUGUAUAUUCAAAUAUUCAUGUUACAAGAUCAUGGAUUAAUAAUCAAGCACUAGCAAGAACUACCCACAUGCAUAUCCAAAAAGGUAACAAGGAAUUCAGGAUAACAAUCAUCUAUGAUUUUGCUAAGGUCAUCAAGGUGGACACAUGCAUAUGAUAUAUGUAUUAAAAGUGUGUAGGUAACAAGGAUAAUCCCAAGUUGUACUUGCCUUAAACACUUGCUCAAUUCUUAUAUCAUCAACUUUUGGUCAUCAUCUACUAAUCUUCAGCGUCCACAAACAGUUCUUGUCUAUUCGUAUCAAGCACCACACAUAGACAAACAUGCAAGCAACAAAUAGAACAACUAAGAACAAUACACCAUACAAGAUAAAAGAGCAUACUAAUAGAUACCUAAUGCUACAAGGUCACAAGUAAUGCUCAUAACGGAACUAUCGUUACAAAGGAUACGACUAUCGUGACUACUAAAAAAGAGACAAAAGACUACGGAGCGUAUUUAUUUUAUUCAGUGAAACAAGGUGAUAGAUAUUUUAGAGAAACAUCCUAAAGUGGAAUUAGUCAAAUUGGAUUAAUUACAAAGUCAGAGUUAACACUUAAUUACAUUUUAAUUAUAAAUAAUUACAUAUAUAAUUUAAUCUAUUUAAGUAUUUAUAAUUUAGAAAGCAUAAAGAAAGUGAGAGCAACUAAUUGAAUAAUCAUGUUUCAAGGUUUAUCUAAGCAGAUCAUAUUUCAACAGACAUUAAUGUUGGUAUUAAUCAUAUUAACAUUUAUUUAUGAAAUACUAUAGCUAUAAACUUAAGUUAUUGUUAAUAAAUUAAAGACAUGAGAUAAAUAUUAAUCAUAUCAGGUACACAUUUCAUGUUUAACUAAACCACUAUAAUUAAGAAAUAUUUAAGUUGUCGUCAAUUGUAUUAACACUUAUUUAUUUAUUUAUUUAUAAAGAUUGAAAUUAUGAACCUAAGUCACUUUUAAUUCAAUAAGACAUAUAUAAGCAUGAAUCAAAUUAAUAUGAUUAAUUAAAUUUAUAAACUCAUAACAUGAUAAAUAUUGUUGCUAACUCAUAACUUAAAGUCGGUGUGGUCACAACGCAACCGAAAACAGAAUUAUAACCCUAGAUUAAUUUUUAUUAGGAAGCUAUUAAUUAAAUAUUAAAUAAAUUACAUUUAAAUCAAUCAAUUCAGAAUUAAGUUACAUAAUAAAAGUUUAUACUACCAUGUAGAGUACGUCGAUACAAAUCUAACGCAACUUAAACCACUUAAAUCAGUCGUAAAACGAAUGGACGGCAGAUAUUAAACGAGCAGUGGCAAAACCGUAAUUACCUGCAUCUUCUACCUUGAGUGUCUGUACGUUCAGG
Molecule: long non-coding RNA, 2401 nt
Filed under: Sorghum bicolor (sorghum)
Lineage: Eukaryota; Viridiplantae; Streptophyta; Magnoliopsida; Poales; Poaceae
Description: long non-coding RNA (SBIC_LNC005357)
Source: RNAcentral